Molecule: non-coding RNA, 121 nt
Organism: Picea glauca (white spruce)
Lineage: Eukaryota; Viridiplantae; Streptophyta; Pinopsida; Pinales; Pinaceae
Source: Rfam
ACAUGCCUACAACAUAGCAUUUAUACAUCAGAUCCCAUUAGAACUUCGUAGUUAAGUGCGCUCGAGCUAGAGUAUUACUGGGAUGGGUGAUCGCUCAGGAAGCCCUAGUAUUUUACAUGCC